Long non-coding RNA from Siniperca chuatsi (mandarin fish), 3767 nucleotides. RefSeq lists it as uncharacterized. Lineage: Eukaryota; Metazoa; Chordata; Actinopteri; Centrarchiformes; Sinipercidae. The record is from RefSeq and is a predicted model, not a curated record. The transcript has 4 exons.
GGAGGAGGAGGAAGAGGAGGAGGUGACGACCGGGACUGGUCGCCCACACGCUGCCCUGCCUGGCGCGGCUACGAUAUUUUGUCCAAGAGCGCUUUGAAAAAUCCGCUGAGGACAAGUCACACACUCGGAGCUAUUUAAAUCAGCCACGCAGCGAAUCAGACGUGUCUCCCAACACUGCGCUCCGCUCUCCUUCCUGCGCCUCAAGUGACCGGAGAGGCGCAAAACCCUCACUAAGCGCUGUCCCUUUUAUUGGCACUGAAUGGAAUAAAGUACUUUUUUCUUCACAGGCAAUCCUCAAGGUGGAACGCGUGGCUUCACGGUGGUGAAAAGAAAGGAUAAAGGAUUCUUGAAGAGGGAAUGGAAGAACAAGGGAGAGCAAUAAGGGUUGGUGCAGGCAUUUGCAAGAUCAUUUGUUAUGAUCCAGUGCAUUUGACCUCAACUGGAACCAACAAUCUACCCGGGUAUGAGAGACCAUAUGCACACACACACACACACACACACACACACACACACACACACACACACACACACACUUAGGUGCUAAGCAUCACACUCAUCUGUUAAACGGAGGGAAAAGAUCACUCUAUACUAAGUAAGUUUCACUCAUCUCUCCCUCCCUCAUUCUCCCAUUUGUCCAUGUCAUCCCUCACUACUCCACUUUCACAUCACCCAUCAGUUAGAAACACACACACACACACACACACACACACACACUUCUCUCCAGAUCAGCCAUCAGUUUGUCCGACAGACACAUAAAUGUUCAUCUUCACAUUCACGCACAGACCAACUCCUUUACAUCACACGUCAGAUCACACCAGAUUCACUCACACACACACAUACAGACACAAUGCAUCUCACAUCAGUUAUAUCUUUUAUGCAGAAGUAGAAAGAGGGUGUUGGCAGCAGGAGGGGUUGACAGGGGAGAAGAGGAAGUACACAGGAAGUACAUUAGUUAUCACUCCCAUGUCUUCUCCACCUUUUCACUUCUUAUCACCACUCGAUGUCUCAGACCCCAGCUGAGCUGCUUCUCCUUCUCAUCCCACCCCUUUCCUUUUCUCUUUCUGUCUCUCUCUUUCUUACACACACACCUCUAAAAAUGACUUCCGUGCUCCACUUUAGUGUCAGGCCCUGGGAUCUAGAUGACAUUUGGCAAGCUGCAGAAGCCGCGAGACAACUGGAUGAAAUAUUUAAAUGAAAGACGGCAGGGGUAGAAGAGGUGAAGAAAAGAAGGGGGAAAAGAGGGAGAGAAAGGAAUACAGGACAGAGGACGAGGGAAGGAGAGAGUGACGAUAUUCAGAUGGUUAGCAGAAUGUGAAGGAUUUCUUUUCUUGGCAAAGAGAGGGCCGUGUGACAAGAAGUGCAGAUGAAUUGGCUUUCACCUACAAAGUAGCCUGAAGAGAAAUAAACCAAUAUAGUAUGAGAUCACAUCGCUUUGUCUUGGAAUCAUCAGCAAGUCUCAGUAUGUAUCAUAGUACUUUCAGCACUGUGCCAACUCAGCUGCAUGGAGUAGGGCUAUGAAUCUAAAACAUAACCAAAUGAAAUGUAACUUUGUUACAGUGAUUUUGUGACCUUAUAAUUAUAGAGUUCUGUUGGACUUUUAUCUGACUAAAUGAUAUAUGCUAAUGCUAGCAUGGCAACAUGCUCAAUGACAAUGCUAACAGGCUGAUGUUUAACAGGUAUAAUGUUUACUUUAUUCAUAAUCUUAGUUUAAUGUGUUAGCAUGCAAACAUUUAGUAGCACUAAACACAAAGUAGAAGGAAUAUCAUUAGUUUUUUUAGAUAUUUGGUCAUAAACAAAGUUGAAAAUCUGACCUGAUGAUGGGGCUAGAGGAAAGGUAAUCAUCAAAGUUAUUACAAUUCAUCCUCAGCGGAAAAUGAAUAGCUGUACCAAAUGUUAUGGCAAUCCAUCCAAUAUUUGUUGAGAUAUUUCACUCAGAACUACAAAUGUCAACCUCAUAGCGGCACAACUUUGUUACAGUGAUUUUGUGACCUUCUACCAAAAUCAGUUGAAUUCAUCCUCUGGGGACCAUAAAUGUCUAUACAGAAUUUCAUUUCAAUCCAUCUAAUAGUUGUUGAGAUAUUUUGAUCGGAACCAAAGUGAUGGAUCGACAGGCCGACAUCGCCAUCCAUAGUGGCAUGCCACUAGCAUGGCUACAAAAUUAGUUAUUCAUAUGACACUAUUCUGACAAGUAAUUAACAUUUUGUGUAGGUUUUUUUGAGCUUUAUGAAUUAAUGGCUCUAUAGUCUAAAAAUACAAAAGAGUCUAUCUCCAAAGUCAUUCUAUAACUUGGUUCUAUAAGGUUCUACCUGCAAGGCCAAUCCGUGCUUAGAUAGCACACUUGAGGACGAAUGAAGUUCCGCCUUUUUGCCAUAUUGAUAUCAGAAGUUUUGAAUCUUCAAAAUUGAUAAUUUUAUGGAAGACCAUAUGAAUGACACUGAUAUAAAUGACAACUAAGUUGAGAGUAUUUUUUAGCUUGUUUAAACUUGGUGCAAAGCUGAUUUUCACACUUAGCUUACACUCUAGACAGUUAUACAGCUCAUGCAAGAAUUCCUGUUUUUAUUAGUAACUCAACGUAUUGUUAAGUCCUUUUAAUAUGUAGAUAAAUGCAGGUUUCUAGCUAGAUAAUUGCGGAACAUUUUAGUGAUCUGAUGCUAACUCUACAGUGCUGCUGUAUCUACAGUAUUUGUGUCUACUUAUAUCUAAUCUACUGCAGACUCAGAAUGAUAACAGUGACUACAUUCAGAGCUCAGACAUUGACAGUGAUGACCCAAGCUUGUCCAGGCAAAAAAGCAGAUGCACAGCAGACCAGUGGGACAGUGACAAACAGAAGAAAAUGUUGAGCAGAAAGCAUCAGCAGAAAUUAGUAGGGAAAUAUAUUUUGACUUUUUUGCAUAGUUUUAACUCCCAUUGUUAUUUAUUUAUUUAAAAUGUGUAGCUGUGUAUGUGCUAAAAUACCUGAUAUCAUCCUUUUAGUAAUGAAUACAUUGAUUGUGUAUCAGCUAUUAACACCAAGUAAGACUACACUGUCUAUUUUUUCCAAAUAAUUGCUUUACAAUUCCAAACAGAAAAUUAGUUCUUAGUAUUAGGAGAUUCUAUCUGCAAAACACAAAGGGUGCCUGACCAAUAAAAGAGAACUUUGCUGCAUACCAUUUUUGCCAUCUAAGAUAUGAAAAAUUGAACCUCAUCAUCUCAAAACCAGGAUCGCAGAUAGAACCUCAUAAUGAUGUUUGAUUCCAUCUCCCAUGCAAGACAAAAGAUACAACAAAGAAGCACUUUUAGGUGUGUAUAUGUGUGUUGUUUAUUCAAUUUAUCUAAUUAUCCACACUUGCUGUAUAAGCUAUAAGCUUUUUAAUUAUUUUCUUAGUCAGUCGUGUGUGCAGAACUGCAUGCUGGUUGUGCAAAUGCUUAUUUAAAAUGGAUGCAUGUUUGUGUUUUUCACUGUGUGUGUAGGUCUUUGUUCAUAUUCUGUAUAUAAUUGUACUGUACAACUAAAAACAUGCAUGCGUGGGUUUGUGUUUGCAGUAUAAUUUAUACCCCUUUAUGCUGCAUUACUGACUUGUAUGGUUCCCAUCACUGUUACAUCCUGCUAGCAAGGGACUGUGCUUACUACAGAGCUGGACAUCAGGGCUGUCUGUCAAAGACGUGGGGGAGUUUGUUUGCUUGUACAGGCAACAAACCUAAAUGUGCAGCAAGGAAGUGAAUACAAGUUUACUGUAUCCUGUAGUGUUUAAUUGAUUGGAAAAAAGUCAAUAAAAAUUACGAUUUCA